CUUGAAGAACUGUGAUGCCAUUUAUUUGGUGUUGCAGGGAAACAGGACUGUUACUUCUGAAAAAAUUAGAGUCGUUUAAAGCAGGCUAACGCUUGAAUACAUUAGCAUGGAAUAAUGAAAUAGGACGUUUGAUCCUAUUUUGUUGGUUUCUAGGAUUGACGUAAUGAUUAAUAGGGAUAGUUGGGGGCAUUAGUAUUCAAUUGUCAGAGGUGAAAUUCUUGGAUUUAUUGAAGACUAACUACUGCGAAAGCAUUUGCCAAGGAUGUUUUCAUUAAUCAAGAACGAAAGUUAGGGGAUCGAAAACGAUCAGAUACCGUCGUAGUCUUAACCAUAAACUAUGCCGACUAGGGAUCGGAUGAUGUUAAUUUUUUAAUGACUCAUUCGGCGCCUUACG
Molecule: ribosomal RNA, 394 nt
Filed under: uncultured Glomeromycotina
Lineage: Eukaryota; Fungi; Glomeromycota
Description: SSU rRNA
Rfam family: Eukaryotic small subunit ribosomal RNA
Source: RNAcentral